Molecule: ribosomal RNA, 441 nt
Filed under: uncultured Neocallimastigomycetes
Lineage: Eukaryota; Fungi; Neocallimastigomycota; Neocallimastigomycetes
Description: LSU rRNA
Rfam family: Eukaryotic large subunit ribosomal RNA
Source: RNAcentral
GCUCAAAUUUGAAAUCUUCAGGGGUUUCCCUUUACGAAUUGUAGUUUAAAGAAGUGUUUUCUGUUGAGGUUUUGGUAAAAGUUCUUUGGAAUAGGACAUCAUAGAGGGUGAGAAUCCCGUAUUUGACCUUUACUUUCAACUUUGUGAUACACUUUCAAAGAGUCGGAUUGUUUGGGAAUGCAGUCCAAAAUGGGUGGUAAAUUUCAUCUAAAGCUAAAUAUUGGCGAGAGACCGAUAGCGAACAAGUACCGUGAGGGAAAGAUGAAAAGAACUUUGAAAAGAGAGUUAAACAGUACGUGAAAUUGUCAAAAGGGAAGCGUUUGACACCAGUGUUGUUUUUCUGAAAAUCAAUUAAAGAACUGUUUAUGCUAAGUUGUUUAGACUUUAUCAGCUAACUGUUUAGUUUUGAGCUUCUCUUUAAUGCACUUUUCAUUUAACAAG